Molecule: long non-coding RNA, 1038 nt
Filed under: Zonotrichia albicollis (white-throated sparrow)
Lineage: Eukaryota; Metazoa; Chordata; Aves; Passeriformes; Passerellidae
Description: lncRNA (ENSZALG00000013029.1)
Source: RNAcentral
AUGCUGUUUUGUGUCACUGCACAGCCAGGAGAGCACAGGACACUGUCCCACACGACUGCUGUCUCAGUGCACACUGUGCUCAGGCACUGGCACACCCUUGGCUCACCACUCAAACCCAUAAAAUACAACCAAACAGGAGCUGGCCUUGGGGGGCAGCUCCCCCUGCCAGCCCAGGGCUUCACCCUGUACCACCCAGGCUGCCAGUGCCUUGCACAAUUCAGAGCCACCCCUGCCAGUGCCAAGGACGAGAGCAGAGCCAGGAGAAGGCCUCAGUCAGGCUCCUGGGGAGGGACAAUGCCCACAGCCUGGCAGGAGCAUCCUCCUGUGCCCCCGGCAUCCUGCCUGGCAUGGCUGCUCUCACCCAGCCCGGCAGCCGGCACUCUGUACCUCCCAAAAAUGGGCUCUUCCAUGGAGGGACGGCCCCAGGGGAAGCUCCAGAGAGGCUGCUGGCCCCAGCUGCCCGGGAAGAGCAGCUGGAUAAUCCCGGGGGUGGGUCAGACGGGAAUGUGGGGCUGGCAGCAGCAGUUGCUCGGCUCAGCACAGCCCCACCGGAGAGCCAGCAGCUGGAAAAGCGCUGGGGCUGAUGGCUCACAGCCCUCCCUGCUCAGGGAACAGCCUUGGCACCGAGUGCAGACCAGAAUAUUCCCUUCCCCAGUGUCUGCUGCGGCUCAGACAGCAGAUGGGACUGCUCAGACACUGCCCAGCUCCUUCUCCCCUGCUCUUGCCACGCUGUGCUCACGGAUCCCCCUGAAAACACAUGGGAACCUGGACCCCCUCUGCAGCCAGGAUGGGGGGACACCACCGAGGGCAGGGACCCCCAGCCCCGAGGGCAGGGACCCCCAGCCCACACUCCCCAGCCCUCAGGGCACUCAUCCCGUGGUGGCUGCAAGCCCAGGCCCGUGGUGCCUCAGCUGGGGAUGCAGAGCAGACGUGCAGAAGCAUUUCCAUCACAGGAUUAUUUGGAGAAAAGGGCUGACAGCUCCCCCGGUUCCAGGAGGGAAGACUCUUGGAAGAAGUCUCAAAACUCAAGGAUGUUAA